RNAcentral lists this ribosomal RNA (429 nucleotides) under Chloroflexota bacterium. Its description in RNAcentral is "Chloroflexi bacterium partial 16S ribosomal RNA". It matches the Rfam family "Bacterial small subunit ribosomal RNA", at positions 355 to 776 of the family's 1533-position model. Lineage: Bacteria; Bacillati; Chloroflexota. The record is from RNAcentral.
UGGGGAAUAUUGCACAAUGGGCGCAAGCCUGAUGCAGCCAUGCCGCGUGUAUGAAGAAGGCCUUCGGGUUGUAAAGUACUUUCAGUCGGGAGGAAGGUGGUAAGGUUAAUAACCUUAUCAAUUGACGUUACCGACAGAAGAAGCACCGGCUAACUCCGUGCCAGCAGCCGCGGUAAUACGGAGGGUGCAAGCGUUAAUCGGAAUUACUGGGCGUAAAGCGCACGCAGGCGGUUGAUUGAGUCAGAUGUGAAAUCCCCGGGCUUAACCCGGGAAGUGCAUCUGAUACUGGUCAGCUAGAGUCUUGUAGAGGGGGGUAGAAUUCCAUGUGUAGCGGUGAAAUGCGUAGAGAUGUGGAGGAAUACCGGUGGCGAAGGCGGCCCCCUGGACAAAGACUGACGCUCAGGUGCGAAAGCGUGGGGAGCAAACAGG